This 74-nucleotide transfer RNA is filed under the name Chloroflexota bacterium. RNAcentral describes it as "Chloroflexi bacterium (anaerobic digester metagenome) tRNA-Arg". It matches the Rfam family "tRNA". From Rfam's summary of the family: Transfer RNA (tRNA) molecules are approximately 80 nucleotides in length. Their secondary structure includes four short double-helical elements and three loops (D, anti-codon, and T loops). RNAcentral also lists the same sequence under 1 other name. Lineage: Bacteria; Bacillati; Chloroflexota. The record is from RNAcentral.
GCGCCCUUAGCUCAGUGGAAUAGAGCGUCUGGCUACGAACCAGAAGGUCGGGAGUUCGAGUCUCUCAGGGCGCG